AUUGAACGCUGGCGGCAUGCCUUACACAUGCAAGUCGAACGGCAGCACGGGAGCAAUCCUGGUGGCGAGUGGCGAACGGGUGAGUAAUACAUCGGAACGUGCCCAGUAGUGGGGGAUAACCCGGCGAAAGCCGGACUAAUACCGCAUACGACCUACGGGUGAAAGCAGGGGAUCGCAAGACCUUGCGCUAUUGGAGCGGCCGAUGUCAGAUUAGCUUGNGGUGGGGUAAAAGCCUACCAAGGCAACGAUCUGUAGCUGGUCUGAGAGGACGACCAGCCACACUGGGACUGAGACACGGCCCAGACUCCUACGGAGGCAGCAGUGGGGAAUUUUGGACAAUGGGCGCAAGCCUGAUCCAGCCAUGCCGCGUGCGGGAAGAAGGCC
This 384-nucleotide ribosomal RNA is filed under the name uncultured bacterium. RNAcentral describes it as "bacterial SSU rRNA". It matches the Rfam family "Bacterial small subunit ribosomal RNA", at positions 29 to 416 of the family's 1533-position model. The record is from RNAcentral.